GCGGGACCCUGCAUACCUGGAAGCGGCGGGUGGCGUCCUCCUUGUCGCCCUCACCCACCCGGUCCGGGUGUACCUGCAGGGACACCUUGUGGUAGCCUCGUCGGACCUCGCCGUCGGAGGCCUCGCGUCGCACGCCCAGCACCCGGUAAAGGUCGGCGGUGCCGAACACUUCCUCGCAAAGGUCCAGCAGCCCCAUGCCGGGCGGAGAUACGACCCCGGAGGAAGCAGCCGCUCCCAGCUGCGCCGGGUACAACCCAGGACUGCUUCUUUUUCGCGCCCAAAAAGCCCAGGGCGCCUGCGUCACAAGCACUGAAGGGGCGUGGCCACGCCGCGCAUCCGCGCUUUACGGCGGCCGCAAAAUGAGGUGUGGCGAGUCAGGCGCGGGCCCGGGUAAGUAACGCCGGCAUGUGGAGUCACAGUCCCCGGCCGCGCGCAGGAGCUAGGUCUUCAGGGAAGUGAUGUUGCUCGGGUCUCUCCUCCCCUUGCUCUGGAAAUCUGGCGUCCGUCUUACCUUUUAGUGUCCAAGAACAACUUUUUCAAAAAGUUCAUAUAUUAGCUUGAAUUUACAAACUGCUGGCCUAUUUUUUUAAGUAGAAAACGGCCAAACAUCAGCAUUCAGCAGUUACACAUGGUUCAACUUAACAGAUGUGUUUUUUCAAAAAUGUUCUUGAAAGGAAUAGGUAAAGCUGUAGACCCAAAUAAUUUUGCACCCCACUGGUUGGAAAUGCUGGGGUACUUUCCCUCUAGCCCUGUAGGAAAAAACCCUAUACUGAAACCCAAAAAGCACAAAACACGGGUCUUCCAAAAACUCUUACCUAAUAGGACUUUCACCUUACACAUUGGUGGAGAGAGAUAACAUGACCCAAGCCUCCGUCUUAAUAACAUAAACUGCUGAAGCAAAGGCUCUUUCUUUUAAUACUCUGUGAAGUUCACAGCUGGGUUUGAACAUGUUGGAUCCCAGGUGGCAGCAGAGUGGGCUGGAGCAAUCAUCCAAGAGAUGGUGAGAAACUUGGGCCUGGAGACCCAAAGCAAGGUUGAGGCUGGGGAUAAAACUUUGUUAGUAGGGUAAACUCACAGAGGAAGUAUGUGUAUACAUAUCUUAAAGGAUAAACAAUGCUAAGUGAAUACCCGAGUUGGCAGAAAAUACCUUAUCAAAUAUCCCCUCACUGAUGUAGCAUUUUUCAGAAUCAUUCUGCUCUGCCAAUAAGUUUCUGCAAAGCCUCAAACUCUCCAGGAUACAUUAAUAUCUUUUAAACUUCCCAGAGUUGCCGUGAUUUUCAAAGCAUUUCUCUUUCCCAGAUCCAAGAUCAAACUCAGCUGAAGUCAGUUCCUCUCAACCUGCCCUGGCAUCAAAGUCUCAAAGCAAGUGGGGGCCAACCAGCAACAACCCCAGGGGAGCUUUGACAACCACAGAAUUUGAGAUGGCUGGUAAUCGUUCUCAGAACAUAAAACACAAAGCUGGACUGUAGUGGAACAAUCACAGUUCACUGCAGCAUCGGCCUCCUGGGCUCAAGUGAUCUUACUGCCUCAGCUUCCCGAGUAGCUGGAACUAUGGGUGAGCAACACCACAGCCAGCUAAUUUUUUAAGUUUUUGUAGAGACGGGGUCUUGCUGUGUUGCACAGGCUGGUCUCAAACUCUGGCUUCAAGUGAUCCUUCCACCUCAGCCUCCCAAAGUGCUGAGAUUACAGGUGUGAGCCACUGCCCCAAUGGUAUCUUUAUAUUAUUUUUCCUUACAAGUUACUUCAAAUUCUUGAUGUUGAAUUUCAUCUCACUGACUUCAGGCUUUUAAAACACAUGGGAAUACUUGAGACCUAAGAAUGGUUGUGAGUCAAAUAAAAAAGUAGAACUAAAGUAUACUGAAGUUAUUCAAAUACAUUCAAACUAUAAAGAUCCCUUAUAGAUUACUGGCAUCAAGGUAGGAAGGAAAAGAUACAAGAAGUAAAAUGCAACACUCAUUACAGGUUGUCAACAUUAUUGGUAUACAGUUUAUCCUAACACAGAGCAGCCUUCUUAACCUGCUCCAUAAAAUUACCAGCAAGAAAGAAAAGUACAAGAAUAAGGUUCACAGCUGAAUUGGCUUGGUGUCCUAAUUCCCUAUUCCAGUAUUCUCAGAAGGAUCCCAUCUAUGAUAUAUGCAGAAAUCACAGCCACAUUUGAAUGGUUCAAUCUUGAUUCAUACUGAACUCCCUUAAGCCCAGCAGUUUCUCAUUCUUAAAAGGUAGGUUAUUAGAGCCCCAAAGCAAUUUUCAUAACAAAUCUACCUUUGUAUAUUUAAGAAUAUGCAUUAAGGCUAGGAGUGGUGGCUCACGCCAGUAAUCCUAGCACUUUGGGAGGCCGAGGUGGGCAGAUCACAAGGUCAGAUUGAGACCAUCCUGGCCAACACGGUGAAACCCCAUCUCUACUAAAAAUACAAAAAUUUGCCCGGGCGGUGGCUCACGCCUAUAAUCCCAGCACUUUUGGGAGGCCAAGGCGGGCGGAUCACGAGGUCAGGAGAUCAAAACCAUCCUGGAUAACAUGGUGAAACCCCAUCUCUACUAAAAAUACAAAAAAAUUAGCUGGGUGUGGUGGUGGGCACCUGUAGUCCCAGCUACUCCUGGGACUACUCGGGAGGCUGAAGCAGGAGAAUGGCAUGAACCCAGGAGACAGAGCUUGCAGUGAGCCGAGAUCGCGCCACUGCACUCAAGCCUGGGCGACAGAGCGAGACUCCUCUCAAAAAAAAAAAAAAAAUUAGCUGGGUGUGGUGGUGCAUGCUUGUAGCUCCCCGGCUACUCAGGAGGCUGAGGCAGGAGAACCUCUUGAACCCAGGAGGUGGAGAUUGCAGUGAGCUGAGAUUGCACCACCGCACUCCAGCCUGGCAACAGAACAAGACUCCGUCUCAAAAAAAAAAAAAAAAAGAGAAUAUGCAUUAGGCAAGACAAUAUAAACCUCCAAUUACAAAAAUCAAUUAAGAAAGGUUAACUGUUCUUGCACUUGUGGGAUGAACAUGAAGAUCUGAAUGGGCCAUGAAUAGUCUGGCUGGGGGUUUUGAAGCAGGAAGUCUUGGAAGCCAGUAAAUUGUAAAGUUGUCCAAGAGACCCAGAGCCCAACUCAAAAGUCCAAUCCUCCCAUAGCCACUGUCUAUCCCAAGACAAAGUCGAAAAAAGCUAAUUAGUACCCACACCCAGCUCUAAGUCACACAAGAACAAAUCUCUCCCUGGGCCCUGUGCAGGCCAGGCCAGAAGAGCAAGGGCAACUCAGGAUACUCCAUUUAUUGAACUCCAAAUCUAACAAAAUUAAGAUCGCUGCAGUGUUUCAAAAGGACCUUGACCUUGUUCCCACUGCUAUGCUCACUAAAGUCAGCUCAUUUAUGUUUCUGUAGCCUCUGUAUCUGUAGCUUCUGCAUCUGUUUUCUGAGAAGCUAACAGGACUUCACGUGCCCGUUUCCUUCGCAGUCUCUCAGCAUUUGUGAUCAUCAUAGGAUGCAGAGGGAAAAAGCCAGCAAGACCUAAAAGUAACAGAUUUUUCACUUAUUAUAACACAGUAUAAGCCAAUGCUUCCCUAGGAACUCUGUCUCACAGAACUGAGGUCUGAGAUCUGACCCAGUGCAUGGAUGCAAACCAUGCUCCUCACUUGCCAAACUCUGUACUACUUCUCCCCGGCAAGGAGACAGUGGAUGUCUACUUCCCUAACAAUAUUCCCCUUACUUUAAAAAACGUAAACUGACAGAUGGCCAUUCAAAACAUACUAUUCCUAUUUUUAGCAUAAAAUACCAGUCACCCAAAGUCUUACAAAGGAGUCCACAAAAGGGGCCUCCAGAUUCAAAAUGCCAAUUAGAUCACAACUUCAGCUCCCACUUCAGUCCUGAACAGCCUAGAGGGAAUGAAAUAACUCUUUUUUUUUUU
Molecule: long non-coding RNA, 3882 nt
Filed under: Homo sapiens (human)
Lineage: Eukaryota; Metazoa; Chordata; Mammalia; Primates; Hominidae
Description: HSALNT0358419
Source: RNAcentral